Molecule: transfer RNA, 74 nt
Filed under: Labilithrix sp.
Lineage: Bacteria; Pseudomonadati; Myxococcota; Polyangiales; Labilitrichaceae
Description: tRNA-Gln
Rfam family: tRNA
About the family: Transfer RNA (tRNA) molecules are approximately 80 nucleotides in length. Their secondary structure includes four short double-helical elements and three loops (D, anti-codon, and T loops). Further hydrogen bonds mediate the characteristic L-shaped molecular structure. tRNAs have two regions of fundamental functional importance: the anti-codon, which is responsible for specific mRNA codon recognition, and the 3' end, to which the tRNAs corresponding amino acid is attached (by aminoacyl-tRNA synthetases). tRNAs cope with the degeneracy of the genetic code in two manners: having more than one tRNA (with a specific anti-codon) for a particular amino acid; and 'wobble' base-pairing, i.e. permitting non-standard base-pairing at the 3rd anti-codon position.
Source: RNAcentral
UGGCGGAUCGUCUAAUGGCAGGACGUCGGAUUCUGGCUCCGACUAUCUAGGUUCGAAUCCUAGUCCGCCAGCCA